RNAcentral lists this ribosomal RNA (554 nucleotides) under uncultured marine eukaryote. RNAcentral's name for it is "SSU rRNA". It matches the Rfam family "Eukaryotic small subunit ribosomal RNA", at positions 615 to 1167 of the family's 1831-position model. The record is from RNAcentral.
GCAGUUAAAAAGCUCGUAGUUGGAUUUCUGUGUUGGUGAGGCGGCCGGCCACUCGUGGUUGUAGCUAGUUAUCACCGGCGCAUCUUGUCACAAGCCACGCUGGCCUUAACUGGUUGGCGUUGGGGACUGACUCGUUUACUUUGAGAAAAUUAGAGUGUUCAAAGCAGGCUAUCGCCUUGAAUAUGUUAGCAUGGAAUAAUGAUAUAGGACUUUGGUUCUAUUUUGUUGGUUGUUCGAGAACCGAAGUAAUGAUUGAUAGGGACAGUUGGGGGCAUCAGUAUUCUGAAGCGAGAGGUGAAAUUCUUGGACCUUCGGAAGACUAACAACUGCGAAAGCAUUUGCCUAGGAUGUUCUCUUUAAUCAAGAACGAAAGUUGGGGGAUCGAAGACGAUCAGAUACCGUCGUAGUCUCAACUAUAAACUAUGCCAGCUAGGGAUUGGUGGACGUUUAUUUACGACUCCAUCAGCACCUUAUGAGAAAUCAAAGCAUUUGGGUUCCGGGGGGAGUAUGGUCGCAAGGCUGAAACUUUAAAAGGAAUUGACGGGGAGGGGCAC